Molecule: non-coding RNA, 47 nt
Filed under: Schistosoma margrebowiei
Lineage: Eukaryota; Metazoa; Platyhelminthes; Trematoda; Strigeidida; Schistosomatidae
Source: RNAcentral
GCAUUGUUGAAGAGUCCCAUACUAGAACGAAACGGCCCGUCCAGUGC